This 253-nucleotide ribosomal RNA is filed under the name uncultured bacterium. RNAcentral's name for it is "partial 16S ribosomal RNA". It matches the Rfam family "Bacterial small subunit ribosomal RNA", at positions 524 to 776 of the family's 1533-position model. The record is from RNAcentral.
GACAGAGGUGCCAAGCGUUAGGCGGAAUCACUGGGCUUAAAGCGUGUGUAGGCGGAUGUCUAAGUACCUUGUGAAAUCCCACGGCUCAACCGUGGAACUGCUCGGCAUACUGGCGGUCUUGAGCCAGCUAGGGGCUACCGGAACAAAUGGUGGAGCGGUGAAAUGCGUAGAUAUCAUUUGGAACGCCAAUGGUGAAAACAGGUAGCUGGGGCUGUGCUGACGCUGAGACACGAAAGCCAGGGGAGCGAACGGG